RNAcentral lists this transfer RNA (69 nucleotides) under Marmota monax (woodchuck). Its description in RNAcentral is "tRNA.Ala". The stretch from base 6 to 61 matches the Rfam family "tRNA", at positions 9 to 63 of the family's 71-position model. From Rfam's summary of the family: Transfer RNA (tRNA) molecules are approximately 80 nucleotides in length. Their secondary structure includes four short double-helical elements and three loops (D, anti-codon, and T loops). Further hydrogen bonds mediate the characteristic L-shaped molecular structure. tRNAs have two regions of fundamental functional importance: the anti-codon, which is responsible for specific mRNA codon recognition, and the 3' end, to which the tRNAs corresponding amino acid is attached (by aminoacyl-tRNA synthetases). tRNAs cope with the degeneracy of the genetic code in two manners: having more than one tRNA (with a specific anti-codon) for a particular amino acid; and 'wobble' base-pairing, i.e. permitting non-standard base-pairing at the 3rd anti-codon position. The record is from RNAcentral. Lineage: Eukaryota; Metazoa; Chordata; Mammalia; Rodentia; Sciuridae.
GCUGGAGCUCAGUGGUAGAACACGUGCUUAGCAUGCACAAGGCCCUGGGUUCAAUCCCCAGGACUAGAA